Molecule: ribosomal RNA, 218 nt
Filed under: Eulemur fulvus albocollaris
Lineage: Eukaryota; Metazoa; Chordata; Mammalia; Primates; Lemuridae
Description: partial 12S ribosomal RNA
Source: RNAcentral
CAAAAUUACUCGCCAGAGCACUACAAGCAACAGCUUAAAACUCAAAGGACUUGGCGGUGCUUUAUAUCCCUCUAGAGGAGCCUGUUCUAUAAUCGAUAAACCCCGAUAAACCUCACCACUCCUUGCUAAUUCAACCUAUAUACCGCCAUCCUCAGCAAACCUUGUUAAGGCCUGAAAGUAAGCAAAAACACAGACAUAAAAACGUUAGGUCAAGGUGU